Carlito syrichta (Philippine tarsier) is the source of this 1378-nucleotide long non-coding RNA. RefSeq lists it as uncharacterized. The transcript has 2 exons. The record is from RefSeq and is a predicted model, not a curated record. Lineage: Eukaryota; Metazoa; Chordata; Mammalia; Primates; Tarsiidae.
GAGUUUGUUUUUUUUUUGGUGGCAUAAUAUUCCAUUGUAUUAAUGCUAACAUAGUUUGCAUUAUUCUGCAGUUUAGAUGUGUGUUUUCUAUUUUCAUUAAUAUUAGAUAAUGCUAUAAUUAAUAACUUUGUGUAUAGAGAUUUUUUUCUGUGUUUCAGGUUGUUUCUUCAGGAAGAUGUCCCCAGAUGGAGUUAGUCAGUGAAGGGCCAGCCACAGAAUCGACACAACUUCGGCCAUAACUGUAGUUGUUCAGUGUGCUCUUUUCACAGCACAGCACUACCUGCAGCCGUAUCCUGACCACAGUGUACCAGAAUCCCAAGCAAGCUGCUUCUCUGGAGGGGAAAAAAGACAGAGGCUAUCUGGGGAGACAGCACCAGCAGGAAGCAGGGGUUCUAGAGCAGAGAGUGCCUGGUCCUGGGCUGUGCACGUCUGUGUAUGUGUGUCAGUUGUGAUACACAUAACCAUUGUCGGCCUUACUCUUUCCAAGUAACUGGAUAAGUUAAUUUCCAGCUCACCUCCCUCUGUGCUUUCCUGAAGCUCCUCUAGUCUGGCUUUUCUCUCUGCCACUCCCAUGGAAACCACUCUGCUCAAGACCAUGGUCGCCUUCUCCGUUGUCCAGACCAGGGCCAUCAGAGCUGCUCCAGGACAGAUGAAUGAGAUGUAUGAGUUUCCUGAUACCGUGGUAUCCCAGUGGGUGCUUGCCACCCACCUGCCUGGCACUCUGGGAUGGAUUUCUGCAUAAAUGUGACCUCUGUGGGUGGAGGCCAGGAUGAGGUUUAUGUGACUGCAAAGACAAGCCUUCGAUCAAUUCUCUGGUGCCACCACAGCUGCUGCAGGGCCCACCUCAUCUGAGAGGUGUGAUGGGUGCAGAUGUGAAGAGUUGCUGUAGAGCCUAGCUCUGAGCCCUCUGGUGUCCUCUGCCUGCACAUCUGUAUGAGGCUGCAAGGCACUAGCCUACCCUAGACCAAACCUCACCAAGUUCUCAUGGAACUCCUCUGAAGGUACCUCUAUGUGCUGAGUUCUAGGGGGAGAAAGGACACCCAAAGAAUAGAAGAGCUGAUCUACUAAAGUCAUACUCUUCUUGGGGACACAGGUGGACUGUGUCUUGCAUUCCACCUGCAAUUUGUCGUGGCCACUCAGCUAAGUGUUGGCCGAUGGAAUGUGAGCCUUAGUGAUGUGCUCUACUUGACUAACCUGAAAAAGCCCCCUGGGAACACUCCGUCAUGCUCUCUUCCAUUUCACCAGCUGGGUGCAGAUGACAAGGAGGAACUAGGGUAAGGUGGAGUCACAAUGCAGAGGGAGCCUGGAUGACCAUAUGGACAUACACAUCCACCAAAGACCGCCAUGCAAGCAAGAAAUAAACAUCCACUGUAUUGAA